This 71-nucleotide transfer RNA is filed under the name Necturus lewisi (Neuse river waterdog). RNAcentral describes it as "tRNA-Gln". Lineage: Eukaryota; Metazoa; Chordata; Amphibia; Caudata; Proteidae. The record is from RNAcentral.
UAAAAAAAUAGGAUUUGAACCUACCCUUGAGAGAUCAAAACUCCCCGUGCCCCCCACUACACUAUUUCUUA